UGGGUGGAUCAGUGGCGGACUGGUGAGUAACACGUAUGUGACCUGCCCCAAAGAGGAGAUAACUUGACGAAAGUGAAGCUAAUACUCCAUGUGGUCAAUCAUUCGGUUGAUUGAUUAAAGCUAAGGCGCUUUGGGAGGGGCUUGCGGCCCAUCAGCUAGUUGGUAGGGUAAAGGCCUACCAAGGCGAAGACGGGUAGCUGGUCUGAGAGGACGAUCAGCCACAAUGGCACUAGAAACACGGGCCAUACUCCUACGGGAGGCAGCAGUGAGGAAUAUUGCACAAUCGACGCAAGUCGGAUAGCAGCAACGCCGCGUAGGACGAUGAAGGCCUUCGGGUAGUAAAGUCCUUUUAAGAGGGACGAGGAAGGACGGUACCUCUUGAAUAAGUCUCGGCUAACUACGUAGCCAGCAGCCGCGGUAACACGUAGGAGGCGAGCGUUAUCCGGAUUUAUUGGGCGUAAAAGCGCAUGCAGGUAGGCUAGGUAAGUCGGGUGUGAAAGCCCCGGACUUAAUCCGGGGAGGUCAUUCGAUACUGCUUGGCUUGAGAGCGGGAGAGGGAAGUGGAAUUCUCGGUGUAGUGGUGAUAUGCGUAGAUAUCGAGAGGAACACCAGUGGCGAAGGCGGCUUCCUGGCCCGUAUCUGACACUAAGAUGCGAAAGCGUAGGUAGCAAACGGACUUAGAUACUCCGGUAGUCCACGCUGUAAACGAUGGGUACUAGGUGUACGGGGGUGUAAAACUCUCUGUGCCAUAGUUAACGCACUAAGUACCCCGCCUGGGGACUACGGUCGCAAGGCUAUAACUCAAAGGAAUUGACGGGGGCCCGCACAAGCAACUGAGCGUGUGGUUCAAUUCGAAGAUACACGUAGAACCUUACCUGGGCUUGACAUG
Molecule: ribosomal RNA, 889 nt
Filed under: uncultured organism
Description: bacterial SSU rRNA
Rfam family: Bacterial small subunit ribosomal RNA
Source: RNAcentral